AGGUUAUUUGCGACUGACGCCAAUCGUGCCUUUCAUUCAUUAGACCAGCCGAGCAUUUCUUCUCCUCCUCCUGUUUUGGUCACUCCUUUGUCUGUUCGGAGUCCUUCUCCUUCUCGUCGCACUAAACAGUCUGCUCGUCCAUCUUCUUCUCUCCCUGCCAAGCCUAUUACAGUCAAGAGUGCCCCAAGCUGCAAACGGC
This 199-nucleotide long non-coding RNA is filed under the name Olea europaea (common olive). RNAcentral describes it as "long non-coding RNA (OEUR_LNC007362)". The record is from RNAcentral. Lineage: Eukaryota; Viridiplantae; Streptophyta; Magnoliopsida; Lamiales; Oleaceae.